Molecule: ribosomal RNA, 484 nt
Filed under: uncultured bacterium
Lineage: Bacteria
Description: partial 16S ribosomal RNA
Rfam family: Bacterial small subunit ribosomal RNA
Source: RNAcentral
AUUGAACGCUGGCGGCAGGCCUAACACAUGCAAGUCGAGCGGAUGAAGGGAGCUUGCUCCUGGAUUCAGCGGCGGACGGGUGAGUAAUGCCUAGGAAUCUGCCUGGUAGUGGGGGAUAACGUCCGGAAACGGGCGCUAAUACUGCAUACGUCCUGAGCGAGAAAGUGGGGGAUCUUCGGACCUCACGCUAGCAGAGGAGCCUAGGUCGGAUUAGUUAGUUGGUGGGGUAAAGGCCUACCAAGGCGACGUUCCGUAACUGGUCUGAGAGGAUGAGCAGUCACCCUGGGACUGAGACACGGUCCAGACGCCUACGGGAGGCAGCAGGGGGGAAUAUUGAACAAUGGGCGAAAGACUGAUCCAGCCAUGCCGCGUGUUUGAAGAAGGUCUUCGGAUUGUAAAGCACUUUAAGUUGGGAGGAAGGGCAGUAAGUUAAUAACUUGCUGUGUUGACGUUACCAACAGAAUAAACACCGGCUAACUUCGUG